GCAGUGGUAGCUCAGUGGUUGAGAUGUCUGAUUACUCAUCGGAAGGUCGUGAGUUCAAAUCCCAGCACUGCC
Molecule: non-coding RNA, 72 nt
Organism: Pangasianodon gigas (Mekong giant catfish)
Lineage: Eukaryota; Metazoa; Chordata; Actinopteri; Siluriformes; Pangasiidae
Source: the annotation of a GenBank genome assembly